UUAAGUUAUUAAGGGCGCACGGUGGAUGCCUUGGCACUAGAAGCCGAUGAAGGACGUUACUAACGACGAUAUGCUUUGGGGAGCUGUAAGUAAGCUUUGAUCCAGAGAUUUCCGAAUGGGGAAACCCAGCAUGAGUUAUGUCAUGUUAUCGAUAUGUGAAUACAUAGCAUAUCAGAAGGCACACCCGGAGAACUGAAACAUCUUAGUACCCGGAGGAAGAGAAAGAAAAUUCGAUUCCCUUAGUAGCGGCGAGCGAAACGGGAAGAGCCCAAACCAACAAGCUUGCUUGUUGGGGUUGUAGGACACUCUAUACGGAGUUACAAAGGACGACAUUAGACGAAUCAUCUGGAAAGAUGAAUCAAAGAAGGUAAUAAUCCUGUAGUCGAAAAUGUUGUCUCUCUUGAGUGGAUCCUGAGUACGACGGAGCACGUGAAAUUCCGUCGGAAUCUGGGAGGACCAUCUCCUAAGGCUAAAUACUCUCUAGUGACCGAUAGUGAACCAGUACCGUGAGGGAAAGGUGAAAAGCACCCCGGAAGGGGAGUGAAAUAGAACCUGAAACCGUGUGCUUACAAGUAGUCAGAGCCCGUUAAUGGGUGAUGGCGUGCCUUUUGUAGAAUGAACCGGCGAGUUACGAUUUGAUGCAAGGUUAAGCAGUAAAUGUGGAGCCGUAGCGAAAGCGAGUCUGAAUAGGGCGUUUAGUAUUUGGUCGUAGACCCGAAACCAGGUGAUCUACCCUUGGUCAGGUUGAAGUUCAGGUAACACUGAAUGGAGGACCGAACCGACUUACGUUGAAAAGUGAGCGGAUGAACUGAGGGUAGCGGAGAAAUUCCAAUCGAACCUGGAGAUAGCUGGUUCUCUCCGAAAUAGCUUUAGGGCUAGCCUCAAGUGAUGAUUAUUGGAGGUAGAGCACUGUUUGGACGAGGGGCCCCUCUCGGGUUACCGAAUUCAGACAAACUCCGAAUGCCAAUUAAUUUAACUUGGGAGUCAGAACAUGGGUGAUAAGGUCCGUGUUCGAAAGGGAAACAGCCCAGACCACCAGCUAAGGUCCCAAAAUAUAUGUUAAGUGGAAAAGGAUGUGGCGUUGCCCAGACAACUAGGAUGUUGGCUUAGAAGCAGCCAUCAUUUAAAGAGUGCGUAAUAGCUCACUAGUCGAGUGACACUGCGCCGAAAAUGUACCGGGGCUAAACAUAUUACCGAAGCUGUGGAUUGUCCUUUGGACAAUGGUAGGAGAGCGUUCUAAGGGCGUUGAAGCAUGAUCGUAAGGACAUGUGGAGCGCUUAGAAGUGAGAAUGCCGGUGUGAGUAGCGAAAGACGGGUGAGAAUCCCGUCCACCGAUUGACUAAGGUUUCCAGAGGAAGGCUCGUCCGCUCUGGGUUAGUCGGGUCCUAAGCUGAGGCCGACAGGCGUAGGCGAUGGAUAACAGGUUGAUAUUCCUGUACCACCUAUAAUCGUUUUAAUCGAUGGGGGACGCAGUAGGAUAGGCGAAGCGUGCGAUUGGAUUGCACGUCUAAGCAGUAAGGCUGAGUAUUAGGCAAAUCCGGUACUCGUUAAGGCUGAGCUGUGAUGGGGAGAAGACAUUGAGUCUUCGAGUCGUUGAUUUCACACUGCCGAGAAAAGCCUCUAGAUAGAAAAUAGGUGCCCGUACCGCAAACCGACACAGGUAGUCAAGAUGAGAAUUCUAAGGUGAGCGAGCGAACUCUCGUUAAGGAACUCGGCAAAAUGACCCCGUAACUUCGGGAGAAGGGGUGCUCUUUAGGGUUAACGCCCAGAAGAGCCGCAGUGAAUAGGCCCAAGCGACUGUUUAUCAAAAACACAGGUCUCUGCUAAACCGUAAGGUGAUGUAUAGGGGCUGACGCCUGCCCGGUGCUGGAAGGUUAAGAGGAGUGGUUAGCUUCUGCGAAGCUACGAAUCGAAGCCCCAGUAAACGGCGGCCGUAACUAUAACGGUCCUAAGGUAGCGAAAUUCCUUGUCGGGUAAGUUCCGACCCGCACGAAAGGCGUAACGAUUUGGGCACUGUCUCAACGAGAGACUCGGUGAAAUCAUAGUACCUGUGAAGAUGCAGGUUACCCGCGACAGGACGGAAAGACCCCGUGGAGCUUUACUGUAGCCUGAUAUUGAAAUUCGGCACAGCUUGUACAGGAUAGGUAGGAGCCUUUGAAACGUGAGCGCUAGCUUACGUGGAGGCGCUGGUGGGAUACUACCCUAGCUGUGUUGGCUUUCUAACCCGCACCACUUAUCGUGGUGGGAGACAGUGUCAGGCGGGCAGUUUGACUGGGGCGGUCGCCUCCUAAAAGGUAACGGAGGCGCUCAAAGGUUCCCUCAGAAUGGUUGGAAAUCAUUCAUAGAGUGUAAAGGCAUAAGGGAGCUUGACUGCGAGACCUACAAGUCGAGCAGGGUCGAAAGACGGACUUAGUGAUCCGGUGGUUCCGCAUGGAAGGGCCAUCGCUCAACGGAUAAAAGCUACCCCGGGGAUAACAGGCUUAUCUCCCCCAAGAGUUCACAUCGACGGGGAGGUUUGGCACCUCGAUGUCGGCUCAUCGCAUCCUGGGGCUGUAGUCGGUCCCAAGGGUUGGGCUGUUCGCCCAUUAAAGCGGUACGCGAGCUGGGUUCAGAACGUCGUGAGACAGUUCGGUCCCUAUCCGUCGUGGGCGUAGGAAAUUUGAGAGGAGCUGUCCUUAGUACGAGAGGACCGGGAUGGACAUACCUCUGGUGUACCAGUUGUCGUGCCAACGGCAUAGCUGGGUAGCUAUGUGUGGACGGGAUAAGUGCUGAAAGCAUCUAAGCAUGAAGCCCCCCUCAAAAUGAGAUUUCCCAACUUCGGUUAUAAGAUCCCUCAAAGAUGAUGAGGUUAAUAGGUUCGAGGUGGAAGCAUGGUGACAUGUGGAGCUGACGAAUACUAAUCGAUCGAAGACUUAAUCAA
This 2920-nucleotide ribosomal RNA is filed under the name Staphylococcus aureus M36089. RNAcentral describes it as "bacterial LSU rRNA". It matches the Rfam family "Bacterial large subunit ribosomal RNA". The record is from RNAcentral. Lineage: Bacteria; Bacillati; Bacillota; Bacilli; Caryophanales; Staphylococcaceae.